RNAcentral lists this ribosomal RNA (497 nucleotides) under uncultured bacterium. Its description in RNAcentral is "partial 16S ribosomal RNA". It matches the Rfam family "Bacterial small subunit ribosomal RNA", at positions 28 to 507 of the family's 1533-position model. The record is from RNAcentral.
GAUGAACGCUGGCGGCGUGCCUAAUACAUGCAAGUCGAGCGAACAGACGAGGAGCUUGCUCCUUUGACGUUAGCGGCGGACGGGUGAGUAACACGUAGGUAACCUACCUAUAAGACUGGGAUAACUUCGGGAAACCGGAGCUAAUACCGGAUAAUAUUUCGAACCGCAUGGUUCGAUAGUGAAAGAUGGCUUUGCUGUCACUUAUAGAUGGACCUGCGCCGUAUUAGCUAGUUGGUAAGGUAACGGCUUACCAAGGCAACGAUACGUAGCCGACCUGAGAGGGGGAUCGGCCACACUGGAACUGAGACACGGUCCAGACUCCUACGGGAGGCAGCAGUAGGGAAUCUUCCGCAAUGGGCGAAAGCCUGACGGAGCAACGCCGCGUGAGUGAUGAAGGUCUUCGGAUCGUAAAACUCUGUUAUUAGGGAAGAACAAACGUGUAAGUAACUGUGCACGUCUUGACGGUACCUAAUCAGAAAGCCACGGCUAACUACGUG